GACCUGCUCUGUAUGGUGACCAAAUUAUGAAAUUCAUGUGUACAUUCUUCUUGAUAUACUUUUUGGGUUUCCCGUGUAUGAAUUGGGGUAACUAGAUUAUUGUGAAGUUCAUGAUCAAGUUAUUAUAACCUGUAGAUUGUUGUUAUUUUAAUUUUUCCUAAUGAGAUAUUGGUUCUUCUCUAGUGGUUCUAGCAAAAUUUCG
Molecule: unclassified non-coding RNA, 202 nt
Filed under: Hevea brasiliensis (rubber tree)
Lineage: Eukaryota; Viridiplantae; Streptophyta; Magnoliopsida; Malpighiales; Euphorbiaceae
Source: RNAcentral